UCAGGUAUACACCGGGUUUCAUGAAUCUCCCGACGUCUCCUUGGACUCCUUGUCCUUCUUGCGUUUUCUCUUUUCAUCCUCGGUGAAUUUCUCGUCCUUCUCCUUCUCGAUCGAUCGGUGCUCGUCGUCUCUCCUUGACCUCUCUUCAUCGAGGACAUCCUUUACGUCUUCACCCACGUCGCGCGUCUCGUCCCAGUCAACGUCGUAUUCAACCGCAAUCACUCGGAUCUCCCUCCUCAGCGCGUUUGCGUCCUGCACCAACUGCUCCCACCGCUCAAUGUCGAAGCCCUUCAUCUCGUACAGGGCAUGCUGCCUUCUCGAAACCGUGACAUUCAUGGCAGCCUUGUAACUGAGGUCCUUAUUGAUAUAGAGGAACCACAGAUAACCACCCAUGAUAGUCGUCAGUCCCGCCAGACGCUGGCGCAUGUAGUAUGUCCGGUCCCCGAACGAGGGAACACUCACGCGCAUCUCAAUGUUAUACCCUUCGAUUUCGAUGGCAAACUCUCGGCCGCGCGCUGCGUCCCGAAUAAAGUCGCCCAUUUCGGUACUGCUGCUCCACCGCACCCAUCUCUUAUCUUGGGAACUCCGCUUGGGGCCUCGGUGGCCAAGUCCGGAAUAGGAGGCCACGUGUGACAGGUUGGUAUUGUACUCGCUAGGCUCCCCGCCAUCGUCCUUGGAUCUCGCUUCGGCGCGGCUCGUGGGUUUCUGGUCGCCUUGCUCGGAAUCUUCGGCUCGGAAGUAAACGUUGGGGAUUUUCUCCUGGCCAUUUUCGACCACAGGCGGCAGCUCGGCUUGGAUCAGGCGUUCGACGUAGGAAAGUGGCUGUUGUGGGUGUAUAAGCAGAGCGAGUGGCUGGAUGUCGCUGUUGAGUGAUAUCGAGCGGCCGUACUCAUUGUUACGGCCAUUGUUCUUUUGGUCCUUUUCGACACGAAGGGGUAGAGGAAGUAUGAGUUUGAGGAGACGAGUGGGCGUUGUCAGCAGCUUGCCUAGCGAGCAAAAUGGUCAGUGAUGGGUUCUGACGGAGUAACGCAUUCUCCAAGUCUGCAGUUGCUUAUUACCUUUUGCUAUGGGGUCGGCAUUGCCUUCGACCGGAGGCUUAUCGGCACCUUCGCGAUGCCAUGGGCGUCUUACUUGUUGCUCGCGCGCCCUGACCUCCUCUUCGUGUUCAUCAAGCCGUUUCUGAUCCAGUUUCUUGGCUUUUGCUUCGGCUUCUGUUUCCCUGGUCUUGGGCGACACCGAGGUAGAGGCUUGUCUCAGUGCGACAUUGGAUAUCCUAGGACGGUGAAGGGUGAGAUUCUUCUGGGGUGAUUCAAGGCACCAGCGGGCCAGAGUAUUGGAAGAUGGCAUUAAGCGGCAUUGUAGCCGCAUGCGCACGCAGUUCAUAGUUGCAGCUGGUCUGUAGAGGUAUGUAUGUGCAAGCAAAGGUCGUUAUAUGUUGGAUUGCAUAGGUGAGUACAUGCGACUAUUUGAGGGUACCAUCCGCAACGGCAAUUAAAGUUGUCGCAAAACGAGUCGUCGUAAUGAUGGUAAUGACGGGAGGUAGGACAUGAACUACUGUAGUAGGAAAAGUCCAAAGCGAGGAAGAAGAGAAGGUUGGAUCGGGAGAUGGGACGAACACCGACAAACGGGAUCACUGUCAGAACUUUAAACCCAGGUAGAGUAAAAACACUGCCCCCGUC
This 1679-nucleotide small RNA is filed under the name Neurospora crassa OR74A. RNAcentral's name for it is "Neurospora crassa sRNA NCU14146". Lineage: Eukaryota; Fungi; Ascomycota; Sordariomycetes; Sordariales; Sordariaceae. The record is from RNAcentral.